GAGUUUGAUCAUGGCUCAGAUUGAACGCUGGCGGCAGGCCUAACACAUGCAAGUCGAACGGUAACAGGAAGCAGCUUGCUGCUUCGCUGACGAGUGGCGGACGGGUGAGUAAUGUCUGGGAAGCUGCCUGAUGGAGGGGGAUAACUACUGGAAACGGUAGCUAAUACCGCAUAAUGUCGCAAGACCAAAGAGGGGGACCUUCGGGCCUCUUGCCAUCGGAUGUGCCCAGAUGGGAUUAGCUUGUUGGUGGGGUAACGGCUCACCAAGGCGACGAUCCCUAGCUGGUCUGAGAGGAUGACCAGCCACACUGGAACUGAGACACGGUCCAGACUCCUACGGGAGGCAGCAGUGGGGAAUAUUGCACAAUGGGCGCAAGCCUGAUGCAGCCAUGCCGCGUGUAUGAAGAAGGCCUUCGGGUUGUAAAGUACUUUCAGCGGGGAGGAAGGGAGUAAAGUUAAUACCUUUGCUCAUUGACGUUACCCGCAGAAGAAGCACCGGCUAACUCCGUGCCAGCAGCCGCGGUAAUACGGAGGGUGCAAGCGUUAAUCGGAAUACUGGGCGUAAAGCGCACGCUGGCGGUUUGUUAAGUCAGAUGUGAAAUCCCCGGGCUCAACCUGGGAACUGCAUCUGAUACUGGCAAGCUUGAGUCUCGUAGAGGGGGGUAGAAUUCCAGGUGUAGCGGUGAAAUGCGUAGAGAUCUGGAGGAAUACCGGUGGCGAAGGCGGCCCCCUGGACGAAGACUGACGCUCAGGUGCGAAAGCGUGGGGAGCAAACAGGAUUAGAUACCCUGGUAGUCCACGCCGUAAACGAUGUCGACUUGGAGGUUGUGCCCUUGAGGCGUGGCUUCCGGAGCUAACGCGUUAAGUCGACCGCCUGGGGAGUACGGCCGCAAGGUUAAAACUCAAAUGAAUUGACGGGGGCCCGCACAAGCGGUGGAGCAUGUGGUUUAAUUCGAUGCAACGCGAAGAACCUUACCUGGUCUUGACAUCCACGGAAGUUUUCAGAGAUGAGAAUGUGCCUUCGGGAACCGUGAGACAGGUGCUGCAUGGCUGUCGUCAGCUCGUGUUGUGAAAUGUUGGGUUAAGUCCCGCAACGAGCGCAACCCUUAUCCUUUGUUGCCAGCGGUCCGGCCGGGAACUCAAAGGAGACUGCCAGUGAUAAACUGGAGGAAGGUGGGGAUGACGUCAAGUCAUCAUGGCCCUUACGACCAGGGCUACACACGUGCUACAAUGGCGCAUACAAAGAGAAGCGACCUCGCGAGAGCAAGCGGACCUCAUAAAGUGCGUCGUAGUCCGGAUUGGAGUCUGCAACUCGACUCCAUGAAGUCGGAAUCGCUAGUAAUCGUGGAUCAGAUGCCACGGUGAAUACGUUCCCGGGCCUUGUACACACCGCCCGUCACACCAUGGGAGUGGGUUGCAAAAGAAGUAGGUAGCUUAACCUUCGGGAGGGCGCUUACCACUUUGUGAUUCAUGACUGGGGUGAAGUAGAC
RNAcentral lists this ribosomal RNA (1489 nucleotides) under metagenome. Its description in RNAcentral is "bacterial SSU rRNA". It matches the Rfam family "Bacterial small subunit ribosomal RNA". The record is from RNAcentral.